GGCCAAGUUUUUAAGGGCGCACGGUGGAUGCCUUGGUACCAGGAACCGAUGAAGGACGUGGGAGGCCGCGAUAGGCCCCGGGGAGCUGUCAACCGAGCUUUGAUCCGGGGGUGUCCGAAUGGGGAAACCCGGCAGUCGUCAUGGGCUGUCACCCGCUGCUGAAUGUAUAGGCAGUGUGGAGGGAACGCGGGGAAGUGAAACAUCUCAGUACCCGCAGGAAGAGAAAACAACCGUGAUUCCGGGAGUAGUGGCGAGCGAAACCGGAUGAGGCCAAACCGUAUGUGUGUGAUACCCGGCAGGGGUUGCAUGUACGGGGUUGUGGGAUUGUUCUUUCAUGGUCUGCCGGCCGUGAGGUGAGUCAGAAACCGUUGGUGUAGGCGAAGGACAUGCGAAAGGUCCGGCGUAGAGGGUAAGACCCCCGUAGCUGAAACAUUGACGGCUCACUUGAAUUAUUCCCAAGUAGCACGGGGCCCGAGAAAUCCUGUGUGAAUCUGGCGGGACCACCCGUUAAGCCUAAAUAUUCCCUGGUGACCGAUAGCGGAUAGUACCGUGAGGGAAUGGUGAAAAGUACCGCGGGAGCGGAGUGAAAUAGUACCUGAAACCGUGUGCCUACAAGCCGUGGGAGCGUCGGACAUCAGCUUGCUGGUGUCUCGUGACUGCGUGCCUUUUGAAGAAUGAGCCUGCGAGUUUGCGGUGUGUUGCGAGGUUAACCCGUGUGGGGAAGCCGUAGCGAAAGCGAGUCCGAACAGGGCGCUGUAGUAGCACGCUCAAGACCCGAAGCGGAGUGAUCUAGCCAUGGGCAGGUUGAAGCGGCUGUAAGAGGUCGUGGAGGACCGAACCCACCAGGGUUGAAAACCUGGGGGAUGACCUGUGGUUAGGGGUGAAAGGCCAAUCAAACUCCGUGAUAGCUGGUUCUCCCCGAAAUGCAUUUAGGUGCAGCGUCGUGUGUUUCUUGCCGGAGGUAGAGCACUGGAUAGGCGAUGGGCCUUACCGGGUUACUGACCUUAGCCAAACUCCGAAUGCCGGUAAGUGAGAGCACGGCAGUGAGACUGUGGGGGAUAAGCUCCAUGGUCGAGAGGGAAACAGCCCAGAGCAUCGACUAAGGCCCCUAAGCGUACGCUAAGUGGGAAAGGAUGUGGAGUCGCAGAGACAACCAGGAGGUUGGCUUAGAAGCAGCCACCCUUGAAAGAGUGCGUAAUAGCUCACUGGUCUAGUGAUUCCGCGCCGACAAUGUAGCGGGGCUCAAGCGUACCGCCGAAGUCGUGUCAUUGCAGCAAUACUCCCAACGGAGGCUGUGAUGGGUAGGGGAGCGUCGUGUGCCGGGUGAAGCUGCCGCGUAAGCGAGUGGUGGACGGUUCACGAGUGAGAAUGCAGGCAUGAGUAGCGAUUCACACGUGAGAAACGUGUGCGCCGAUUGACU
The sequence is a ribosomal RNA, 1420 nucleotides long. It matches the Rfam family "Bacterial large subunit ribosomal RNA", at positions 1 to 1346 of the family's 2925-position model.